AGUGAACGCUGGCGGCAGGCCUAACACAUGCAAGUCGAACGGCAGCACAGGGGAGCUUGCUCCCUGGGUGGCGAGUGGCGGACGGGUGAGGAAUACAUGGGAAUCUGCCCCGACGUGGGGGAUAACGUAGGGAAACUUACGCUAAUACCGCAUGAUCUGGAGACAGCAAAGCGGCGGACCGCAAGGCGUCGCGCGACGGG
Molecule: ribosomal RNA, 200 nt
Filed under: uncultured bacterium
Lineage: Bacteria
Description: partial 16S ribosomal RNA
Rfam family: Bacterial small subunit ribosomal RNA
Source: RNAcentral